AUUGAACGCUGGCGGCAGGCCUAACACAUGCAAGUCGAGCGGAUGAAGGGAGCUUGCUCCUGGAUUCAGCGGCGGACGGGUGAGUAAUGCCUAGGAAUCUGCCUGGUAGUGGGGGAUAACGUCCGGAAACGGGCGCUAAUACCGCAUACGUCCUGAGGGAGAAAGUGGGGGAUCUUCGGACCUCACGCUAUCAGAUGAGCCUAGGUCGGAUUAGCUAGUUGGCGGGGUAAAGGCCUACCACGGCGACGAUCCGUAACUGGUCUGAGAGGAUGAUCAGUCACACUGGAACUGAGACACGGUCCAGACUCCUACGGGAGGCAGCAGUGGGGAAUAUUGGACAAUGGGCGAAAGCCUGAUCCAGCCAUGCCGCGUGUGUGAAGAAGGUCUUCGGAUUGUAAAGCACUUUAAGUUGGGAGGAAGGGCUGUAAGUUAAUACCUUGCUGUUUUGACGUUACCAACAGAAUAAGCACCGGCUAACUUCGUG
RNAcentral lists this ribosomal RNA (484 nucleotides) under uncultured bacterium. RNAcentral describes it as "partial 16S ribosomal RNA". It matches the Rfam family "Bacterial small subunit ribosomal RNA", at positions 30 to 507 of the family's 1533-position model. The record is from RNAcentral.